Molecule: long non-coding RNA, 1480 nt
Organism: Astatotilapia calliptera (eastern happy)
Lineage: Eukaryota; Metazoa; Chordata; Actinopteri; Cichliformes; Cichlidae
Source: Ensembl
AAUGAUGUGCAUAGAGGCACUUGACCUGUGUGAAAGACUGUCAUCUUAUUAUGAACCAUUGUUGAGAUGUAGAGCACACCUGUGAAAACAACUAAUAUGCUGAACCCUGUAUGAAACAUCUAAAAGUACAUGAUGGAGAAGCUGUGUUGAAUAUGAAAGUGUAAGACUUUGCCGCUGUGGGCAGAGCAACUACUGUGUGAUGUUGCGUUGCGGUUUUUUUUUCUUCUGAGCUGAUGAGCAAGCUACACAUUAUCAGAUCAAGAGCUGUCUGAGAACUACUCAAAGAGAGGGAAACAGAGCUAUGAGUGUGCAGCGUUCCCGUGAGCAGUUUUCCUGCACCUUGACUCGUGUGUGUGUAGCAUCAGCAUCAUGUUUUUGUUUAUUUGUUUUUUUGGGUUAAUAAUAAUUAAAUAAACUGGUGAUCAUAUUUAUGGAUCACCAUGGCACAUAUCAUCAGUCAUGUGAUUUAUUUACGCAGAUCACAAAGUGAGUGUGAAUGUGUCUGACAUCACAGUGUUUUUGUGCACUGUGCAAAAGUAAUUGCCUUUGAUUGUGAGUGACAGCGGUGAUUUUGCAGGUCGCCAGCUAUUGUAAAAAAAAAAAAAAAAAGAGUGAAUAAGAGGGAGAAUUUAUAUUGUAGGAAAAGAAAAUCAUAGGAAAAAGGUUUUGUGUUGAUCAACCAAAAAAAACAACUAUAAUUUCAUUUUCUGCUUUUAAGAAAGGAUUGUUCACAAAAACACAGAGAGAGAGAGAGAGAGAGAGAGAGAGAGAGAGAGAGAGAGAGAGAGAGAGAGAGAGAGAGAUGUGUGUUGAUUAAGCAGUGAUGAUAAUAAUGAACAUGUCUUAGUUUGUCACUUUCAGGUGAAAAGCAGACCUGAAUCAAUUUUCCACAUGCAGCGGUCGGAAGAAAGUUAUAGUUUAACAUCAUUGGAAACAUGCAGGCCAAGUUUCUGGCUGACUUAUUUACAGCGCCAUGUGUCUCUCAACCUCACAAGCAAGUGCUCACUCCUCCCUGAGGAAUGCAGCUCCAAAGAGCAAUAACAUGGCAGAUAAAGACAGCAGCAAGUCCUGAGCAAAGAGUCCCAGCAAAGCAGCAGCAAUGUGGACAGACAGCAUCAAAGAAGAAGAGCAAACCCAUCAUCCUGACUGAUCGGAUGAAUGGCACUGUGUCUACAACAAGCUGAAACUUCACUGUGCAUGUGAAGAAAACGUUUGAGGAGAACUGAACAGUUGGAGUUUGACAUUUGCCACCUGUGGAGUAAAAUGGCAAGAAGAGACAGUGGAACACAGGACAAAGCUGAAGGAUAACUGCCGGCUGUGGACUGUUAAAGUGGGAGAGGACAACAGAGUGAGAUGACAAUAGAGUGAGAGUGGUGCAGCAGUGAGAAGCGAGAAACAUUCCAGGCAUAGCCCAGGCAGUGGUUGAGGUCAAAGGUCAAGCUGGUUGGGGCCCAUCAUGAGAUCAGACCUUGGAGCCACA